GAUGAACGCUGGCGGCGUGCCUAAUACAUGCAAGUCGAGCGAACAGACGAGGAGCUUGCUCCUCUGACGUUAGCGGCGGACGGGUGAGUAACACGUGGAUAACCUACCUAUAAGACUGGGAUAACUUCGGGAAACCGGAGCUAAUACCGGAUAAUAUAUUGAACCGCAUGGUUCAAUAGUGAAAGACGGUUUUGCUGUCACUUAUAGAUGGAUCCGCGCCGCAUUAGCUAGUUGGUAAGGUAACGGCUUACCAAGGCAACGAUGCGUAGCCGACCUGAGAGGGUGAUCGGCCACACUGUAACUGAGACACGGUCCAGACUCCUACGGGAGGCAGCAGUAGGGAAUCUUCCGCAAUGGGCGAAAGCUUGACGGAGCAACGCCGCGUGAGUGAUGAAGGUCUUCGGAUCGUAAAACUCUGUUAUUAGGGAAGAACAAAUGUGUAAGUAACUAUGCACGUCUUGACGGUACCUAAGCAGAAAGCCACGGCUAACUACGU
Molecule: ribosomal RNA, 496 nt
Filed under: uncultured bacterium
Lineage: Bacteria
Description: partial 16S ribosomal RNA
Rfam family: Bacterial small subunit ribosomal RNA
Source: RNAcentral